AAAUUCACUGAAGUUCCAAUCAAAUUCUCAACAAAACUUUUUAUGGAAUUUAAUCAACCUAACCUGAAUGUGGAAAGACAAAGCUGAGAUUUUUUUUUUUUAAACAGGAAAAAUAGGGGAGUACCUAUCAUAAAAGACAGUAGGGCUUAUAAAACUAUAGUGAUAACACAGCCCUUGUGAUGCCAGGAUAGACAUGUAAAUCUAUGGUACAGAAACAGAUACAUGAGAACUUGAUACGUGACACAGUGGAGAAAUUAGUAACUUUUCAAUAAAUGGCACUAGGACAAUUGCAUGUCUGUAUGUGAAAAAAUUAUAUACCCUUCUCACACCAUAUUUUUAAAAACUGGUAGAUUAAAGACCUAAAUGUGGCGGAGGGGGGAGGGGGCGGGAAUACCAUUUUAAAUAUUUUAGAAGGUAAUACAGGAAAAUUUGAACCAAUGUAAGGAAGGAGUUGUUGGAUGUGACUCAAAGUGGGAACCAUGAAGAAAAAGAGUCACACAUCUGACUAUAUUAAAACUAGAAACUUAAGUAUGACAAAAGACACUGAAUAUUAGAGGGCCAGCCACAGACGUGGAAGGUACUUACCUUGCAAUUAUCUACCAGGAACUGACAAAGGAAGUGUCCAAAUUACAUAAAGGACUACUUAAGGGGGGAAUAAAUGAGUGAUAUAUGAGAGAGAACCAAAAGGUCAAUUAACAGAAAAAUGUUUUAGCUCACUAGGAGUCAAGGAAAUGCCAGUCAGCACAGUUAGAUACCAUUUCACAUCCAGUCAGAUAAUAUCAGGGAUUGGCAAACAUGUUGAGAAAAUAAUUCAUACUUUAGUAAAGUUGAAAUUACAUAUUGCUUAUAACAGCAGUUCAACAUCUGUCUUUUUAUAAGACUAAAGUUUUGCAUCAUAUUUAGGUACAGAAAUUGUCAGAACACUUAAAGCUUGUAGGCAUUUGUUGCUGGGAGAAGACUGAAUUGCUUUUUUCAAAAACUGGAAAUCACAUUGAUGUGUUGUAAAAGAGAACCUUAGAUUUAGAGAGGGAAAAAAAACUACAGUAUUUUGUUAAAUUUAUCUACAUUUAAAGAUACUAAUAAAUGCAGUUUAUGAACUACCAGUCUCCUAUAUUGGUCAUAUUUUGACAAGUAAAGCUUUUUUUUUCAUAACGUCAAUAUUCACACAGAGGUUACAGUUCAGAUUAGGAGAACAUAUGUAUGAUAAAACAAUUAGACUAAAAAGGUCCUUUCUUUUUAUAUGAAAUGGCAGAAAAGCAACAGCAGUUUAUUGCUUAUGACAGAAUACAUAUGAUACUCGAAUAUUUCUUGAGAUCUUUGCUUAAAUCUAGUAUCUAUACAAAAUUUUUAUGUUCGCUAGAUUGUAAAUUCAGUUUUCUUACUAAGAAAGACUGAAAUUUAUUAAUAAUUUUGGGGUUCUAGUGAUUAGCAUUAGAGACUGAUUUGCUUUUAAAGAGAAUCGCAUAUUUUAUAUAUUUCCAAUUUUACAUACUUCUGAAAGAACAUAACUUUGUCAUUAAUAUAUGGCAUAUGUAUACAAUGAAAAAUGUACAAGGAUGUUUCUUACAGCAGUUAUUGAAAUAGCAGGAAGAAAAAGGUAACUUAAAAGACACUUAGCACUAGAGUCUCCAGUCACAUCUACUCCCUGGCCCAUGAACUAAGAACGUUUUUAACGUGUGUAUGAAAGGAGUGACUUAAUAGAUCUGGCGUGUUGAAACCUGCACCUUUCAAAGAAAGGUCUAGCCCUCAACUUGCUCCUGGGAGAUCACAGCGCUAAGCCCCUGGAAUAUCCUGCCUGAUGCAAGGCCUUUGUUUACCUGGGGCCUUGGAUCACACCAGAUAGUUUAUGCUACAGAUUUAUGGUGAGGGCAUUGCACCUUGCAGUAUCAAUUUAAUCGCCGGGGGAGGUGGAAACUGAAUAACAUCUGCCAUUUCUGUUCUCCAUGCCUAUGUGACUAACACCCAAUAAAAACCUUGGACACCAAGUCUCAGCUUCCCUGGUUGAUAAUAUUUCAUAAAUGACCCACACUCAUUCAGAGAGGAUUAAGUGCUGUGCAUGCAUCUCCUGUCAGAUGGGACAACUGGAAGCCUGUCCUGCUCUCUUCUGAACUCUUUCCUAUCUGCCUUUUAAAACUGUACUGAUUUUAAACUGUACUUUUGCUCUAAUAAACUAAUUGUCAACGUAA
Molecule: long non-coding RNA, 2186 nt
Filed under: Homo sapiens (human)
Lineage: Eukaryota; Metazoa; Chordata; Mammalia; Primates; Hominidae
Description: HSALNT0350354
Source: RNAcentral